GCCCCGUGGUUCCCGGACGCCGCGUGUCAGUCGGGCUGUCCGGGCUGGGAAAGGGCCGAGAGGAAGCAGGCCCAGUGAUGUAAGCGUGGGGGCUGCGCCUCCCGGCAGCCCCCACAGCCCGGUCACUGGCACAGGC
This is a small nucleolar RNA of Sarcophilus harrisii (Tasmanian devil), 136 nucleotides long. Ensembl annotates it as small nucleolar RNA, H/ACA box 84. Its record names the gene SNORA84. Lineage: Eukaryota; Metazoa; Chordata; Mammalia; Dasyuromorphia; Dasyuridae. The record is from Ensembl.